This 778-nucleotide small RNA is filed under the name Pan troglodytes (chimpanzee). RNAcentral describes it as "processed transcript". Lineage: Eukaryota; Metazoa; Chordata; Mammalia; Primates; Hominidae. The record is from RNAcentral.
GGGAGGGAGGCCAGCGGGCCGGCGGGGUCCGCCCCGACCCCAACCACGACCCCGACUCCUAUCCGAUCCUAUCCCCGGCUCCGCUCGGGCCUUUCCCCUUGCGCCCUGGCUCGGCUGGCUCGACGAGCAGUAAGUUCGUAGCCGCCCUCCGAAGCCGGGCGUGCAUGGGAUGGCAGAGUUGGCGUGCGUGCUUGAGUCCACCAGUGUGGCAUGGGCAUGUAAGGUGCGCGGAGGGACUGCACCUUCUCCAUCAGGUGCAGAAGGUGCGUUUUUGCAAGACUGCGCACUCACACGACCAUUGAGAGGCUCACUUUGCAGUGGCCCUCCCAGGCCCUCCGUGGUUGGGUGUCCGUCUUUGUCAGAAAAGGGCCAGCAGGGGGCACCAAACCCGCACGUUUCUGCCGGGAGAGGGCGUCUGGGCCACGUCAUGCUGAACAAGAGCCGAGAAGUAGAAUCGCCAGUGUCAAGCCGUCCACGUUGUGGGAUGCCCACUGUUCCCCCAGGAUCACUCAAGACCCUGUGACUUGUGGUCACUGAUGAGUGGACCAAGUGAAGUCCACAAGAUGGCUGCUGUGGCUCCAGGCAUCACGUCCACAUGCAAAUCCAUCCAGAGGCAGGAACUGGGAAUAGGCUUGGAGGUGGCCAGGACAGCAAGUGGGCUGUCUGUAUAAACCUCCCCUCCACUUGGGAAGGAAAAUCACCCCCCAAGUCGAUUUUCUGUCCAUCUUAUUGAUCAGAGACCGUUAUAAAUUCACCCAUUAAAUAAUCUGGACAAGGG